CUAAGGCUCAGCCUUGCGGUGGCCGACGCCUCUUCCGCCCAGUUUUUCUGGAUGGGAAGAGGUGCGGUCGAAACCCAUGGGCGCGUCCUCGCAGGUCGUCCAGCGUAGCAAGUCUCUCGCUGAACGUGCCGGGGAGGAGGCGCCAAUUGUAUACACGAACGCUUGGCCUCGAAUCAGGUAGGGAUACCCGCUGAACUUAA
RNAcentral lists this unclassified non-coding RNA (200 nucleotides) under soil metagenome. RNAcentral's name for it is "partial contains internal transcribed spacer 2 and large subunit ribosomal RNA". The record is from RNAcentral.